Long non-coding RNA from Dreissena polymorpha, 739 nucleotides. RefSeq lists it as uncharacterized. Lineage: Eukaryota; Metazoa; Mollusca; Bivalvia; Myida; Dreissenidae. The transcript has 3 exons. The record is from RefSeq and is a predicted model, not a curated record.
CUAUCGUUGAGGACUUUGUACUUUGAAGCUUUGUUUACUUCAUUCAUGGACCGUUGAUGCGCAGUAACAAAGAAAUUCGGUGAAUGUGUUUGUGCCAAACCAAGCGGAAAACUGAUGCUAGGACAACAAAGAUAAUAUAUCGAAACACCAUGUCACUCUCGGGUGCAACAACAACCUAAUUGGCAAUCUGAUGACAUCCAACGCCUUUGGAAAUAUAAGUAUGCACUGUGGCGACUUCGUAUAAAAACCAGUUAUCAGAUGUCUCGUGACCGCCUGACAGGUUGAACAAUGGAUAUCAUCUUGAAAUCUCUGGAACGUUAUCGCCCUUUAUUUCACAACAGACAGGAGGCUCCUGACACCGGUCUGUCGGUGGCGAGGCCUGACGACUGUCUGUUGGUGGCGGCCAUAGACUUCGGAAUGACCUAUUCCGGAUGGGGAUUCUCGUUUAAUUAUGAGUUCCAAACUGAUCCAACAAAAAUUUCCACUUUGAAUUGGUCUGAUGGCAAAACGAUUUCUCCGAAAGGCUAGAUAUAGAAUACCUUUUUGCUAGAUCAAUGCGUGUUAGCAACGUUACAGACUAAUCCCAUUAUUGUGACUUUUGUUUAUAUGAACACAUUUCUAUCAACGGAUUGAUACAACUAAUCCUAAUCUAAAAAAUCAAAAUUCGUGCGCAACUGAUAAAUGGAAUAUUACAAUACUUGAGUGUACCGGUGUGUUUAAAUAAAUUAAUAGCUUUUAA